This 466-nucleotide ribosomal RNA is filed under the name uncultured bacterium. RNAcentral describes it as "partial 16S ribosomal RNA". It matches the Rfam family "Bacterial small subunit ribosomal RNA", at positions 28 to 506 of the family's 1533-position model. The record is from RNAcentral.
GACGAACGCUGGCGGCGUGCUUAACACAUGCCAGUCGAACGGAAAGGCCUCUUUCGGGGGGUACUCGAGUGGCGAACGGGUGAGUAACACGUGAGUGACCUGCCCUUGACUUUGGGAUAACUUCAGGAAACUGGGGCUAAUACCGGAUAGGAGCUCCUGCUGCAUGGUGGGGGUUGGAAAGUUUCGGCGGUUGGGGAUGGACUCGCGGCUUAUCAGCUUGUUGGUGGGGUAGUGGCUUACCAAGGCUUUGACGGGUAGCCGGCCUGAGAGGGUGACCGGCCACAUUGGGACUGAGAUACGGCCCAGACUCCUACGGGAGGCAGCAGUGGGGAAUAUUGCACAAUGGGUGGAAGCCUGAUGCAGCAACGCCGUGUGCGGGAUGACGGCCUUCGGGUUGUAAACCGCUUUCGCUCAUGACGAAGCUUUGUGUGACGGUAGUGGGGAAAGAAGCACCGGCUAACUACGU